This 3093-nucleotide long non-coding RNA is filed under the name Homo sapiens (human). Its description in RNAcentral is "HSALNT0373185". The record is from RNAcentral. Lineage: Eukaryota; Metazoa; Chordata; Mammalia; Primates; Hominidae.
UCCUUUUCUUUUCUUUUUUUUGAGAUGGUGUCUCUCUAUGUUGCCUAGCCUGGUCUCGAACUCCUGGGCUCAAGUGAUCCUCCUGCCUCAGCCUCCCAAAGUGCUAAGAUUACUGGUGUGAGCCACCAUGCCGGUCCAGCAAUCCAUGGUUCCAUAUAGGUGAAUAGGAAGACUUUCUUUCUUAUUAUUUAGAUAUCUUUGAAAGAUAAUCAGUAGUUUAAAGCAAAAUUAGCUCCAUACUAAAUAUUCAUACUAGCUAUUUUAAUUUUUAUAAUUAUACUAUUGAAGUGGAUACUCUUAUGCAGACUUUACAAAUGAACAAACUGAAGUUUAGAGAUUCUAAAUAUUCUAAAUAAAUAGGUCAUAUAGGCAUAUCAUUAUACUGUCUAUUGCUCAAUGCCCUUGACAGUGCACAGUUCCUUGGCUAAAAGUAUGUGGAAGCAGGGAAAAAUGAAUCCAGCAAUUACUAUAUUUAGCUGCUUUUACAAAUGCCUCUUGGUUAAAAAAAAAAAAAAAAAGACAUUCAUUGGUAGACAUUACCACAUUGCCAAGUCACUCAUAAAUCUAAGUACGAAAGUCAGUAAAAAAGGAUGAUGUUAUCUGAUUCACUGAAAGGGAAAUAAGCUGAGAUCUGCUGCGUUAGGACAAAGGCCAGCUGGGCUUUAUGAGAAUUCAGAUGGCAAGGAACAAGCUUUUUAUGGCAAUGACAGAGGGAGAAGGGAACAAUAUUAUAAGGAAGAAUCUUUGUGGUUCAAACAGAUUAUGUGGUUUAUUAUUUUCAUUUAGAUUAGGGAAAAAAUCAGUGGGCACAGAAUAAAUAGCAACUGCCUCUUUCCCCCUCCCCAGCAAGCAGAAUAUUGAUUUCCUCUUUGAGGAAAGGACACAUUAAAAAGAAUACUCUUGAGAUGAUAAAUAUGCUAAUUAAUGUGAUCUAAUCCCUAUACAUUAUGUAUAUGGAAACACCACUAUGUACCCCAUGAAUGUGUACAAUUAUUGUCAAUUUAAAAAUACAAUUUUAAAAACACUCAUUUUAUUUUUUUAAAUUAAUUGUUCUUAUUUUAAAAAUUAUUAUUUUUUAGGGAUGGGAUCUCACUGCAUUGCUCAGGCUGGUCUCAAACUCCUGGGCUCAAGCAAUCUUCCUGCCUUAGCUUCCCAAAGUUCUGGGAUUACAGGCAUGAGCCACCACUCCCAGCCAAAAAAAAAAAUACUCAUUUAAAGCUGCACAAGUUUGAUGGCACAAGUCUGUAUAACUGGACCUGUGCCUUUAUAAAACCUCAAACACUGCAAAGGUUCAUGAAACAAUGUAUAUCUAUUCUUCUUAUUCACUGUCAUCAAUGCUGACCAGGGAAAAUUGCACAGGUGCACGUGUGUGUGUGUGUGUGUAGGGCUAGUGAAGCAGGCAACUACCAGAGAUACAUUAUUAAAAAGCUAACAUUUAUUGGCCAGGCGCGGUGGCUUACGUCUGUAAUCCCAGCACUCUCACGGGUGGUGCCUCCCCGGCAAUGGGGGUCCCAAGAUCCAGGGGGGGAAAAGGGGAUGGCUCUCAGCCACCACAAAAUGGGGGGCCUUUAUGUUCAGGUUUUGCCCAAGAGUCAGCUUAUUUGCUUCUUGUACUAGCAGGGCAGUUGCUGCCAAGGCCUCAAACAGGGGAGCCAUCCUUCAGAAACCCUGUCUAGUUGUUCAGAGACGUAGGCCACCGGCCUCAGCCAGGGCCCCACAGUUUGGGUUAAAAGUCCAGCUGCCAUCUUUUCUCUCUCUAACGCAUACAAUGGAAAAGGCUUUGUCAGAUCGGGUAGCCCCAGGGCUGGGGCUGCCAGAAGUUUUUCCUUUAAGUCAUGAAAGACUUGCUGUUCUUGGAUCCCCAUUCCAAAGGUUCCGGUCCCCGCCCCCUUUGUGACCUCAUACAAAGGCUUGGCUAAUACUGCAAAGUUUGGGAUCCACAGUCUACAAAACCCCACAUCCCCUGAGAAUUCUCUCGCCUGCCUUAGGCACUUAGGCUCCGGGAGAUUGCAAAUAACCUGCUUUCUUUCUGUUCCCGGGCUGCGUUCGGACUCCUGUCAGAUAGUAAAUCCUAAGUGGCGUCGGACCCCUGUCAGAGAGUAAAUCUCAAGUAAGGUACCUGCCAUCGGCAGAUUUGAGCUUUCUUCUUGGACACCUAAUACCCACAGUCCUCCAGGCUCCGGUAGACUGCAAAUGACCUGCUUUCUUUCUGUUCCCGGGCUGCGUUUGGACCCCUGUCGGACAGUAAAUCCCAAGUAAGGUACCUGCCCUCGGCAGAUUUGAGCUUUCUUCUUGGACACCUAAUACCCACAGUCCUCCAGGAAUGGAACAGAUAAGAAGAUACUGAAAUUGGACGGUGCUGCCGUGCGGCUGCCGCAGGACACCUUUAAUAUCCCUGUUUCUCAGGCUGUAGAUGAAGGGGUUCAGCAUGGAGGUGAUCACCGUGUACAUCACUGAGGCCACUGCAGCCUUUCUCGGGGAAGAUGACACAUCUGAACUGAGGUACCCUCCAAAGCCUGUUCCGUAAAAUCAGCAAACAACUGACAGGAUAACUUCAGGAAGUGGGUAUUAAUUCUCACGGUAUAAGUGAAGACAUUAAGCACCAGAGUUUAAGUAGCUUGAUCCACUGAAAGAGAUUCAACUGUGUGGAACCUAUGCCGUGGAGAAUUGCUUUCUGCCAUUGUUAUCGUCCAGCAGUUGCCGAAUAGCUCUGACCUGAGCAAAGCAGUGAAACGCGGUGCUGUUGAGUGGGUUGCCACUGCACCUUUUUCAACUACUCUAGUCUUGUGGAGAAAAUACCCCUUCUAAAUUUUUUCUUCAUUGAAUACUCUCCCUCAGCUCCAGAGUACCAUAUAGAGUUUUCUUGUAUUUUAGAGUUACUGUUUUAUCAAAGUUUACCAGUCUUUUGUAUUACAUUUCUCCUGUCUAAAUCGACUGUGUGGUUUCUACUCAUUAUGGAUAUAGAUUGAUACAAACUCAAUAAAUAUUUUUGAAUGAAUAACUCCACAGUCCAAGUUAUUUUAAUCACUAUACAAAAUCUCCAGAGUUUCUCCCAUAUUUCUGAACAUGGUAACUAUGUAUCAAGAGACAAAC